AGAGUGAAAGCUCAGACAAGCUGAGCUUUUUCAUUCUAAGAUCAAUCUCCCAUCUUAAGGAAUGUGACGUACAAACAUUUAUAUUUUAUUUCUACUUCAUUGUAUAUUUGUUUUCACAUGAUUUAUAUAUGUUUUGUAUUUAUAUGUGAUCGAUUGACUUUUAGUUUGAUGCAUUAAGAGGCUUCAUGCCAGGUCAUAGGGUUCAUAGGUUGAUAGGUGAUGGCGAACUCGGGAGGGCAUAAAACAUGUCCGGAAGUAUCGUUAAGGGGGACAUGCUUAGAGAUGCCUGGGAGACGUGUUUUGGGAGAUGGAGACGGUCGGCGUUUGUGACACAUGCCUGAGAGAUGCGGAGACGUGCAUCGUUUUGGGCCACAGGCCUUUGAGACAUGGAGCCUGCGGCGUUUGAUUGGCGCCGGUUUUCAUUUUACAUACGGACCGACAGAGUUUUUGUGCGCUCAUACAGACCGUGAGUUUUUUUUACAACGGUCCAACGGAAGGAUUUCAGUUUGCCACACGGAUUACAACGUGCUUUGCGUUGAAUGGACAUACUAUCGGGAAAACAGGCUCUCGAAAUGGACAAUGGACUAUGGCAUAUUUUGUGGUCUGUAUGAUGUUACUGAUGCAUGACAAAUUGACGAAAUUUUUUUUUUUUUUGUUUUGGAAAUAGAAACUGUUGAAACAUGCUUUUGAGUUUGAGACUUUGUUUUAAAGGUUGAACACGUAACAAGGAAAAGCAACAAGACUAUUUAUGGCUUUUAUGCAAUUCAGACUGAAUGGAUUUGCAAGGCUUUGCAGUGCCAAAGUCAAAUGUUGGCUGUCAAAGCAAACAAGUAAUUUUAGACAGGGACUGUUUUUUUUUCUUUUUAAGCCAUUUCUCCCAGCCUCAACAUAAUUCGACACUUCCAGCAAGGUGGAUGAUGGAACACACAAAGUAGCGUUAUUAGUAACCACCACAGCUGAACUAUUUACCAGGGAAUGCAACUACAUUCUAGCCUGUGUAGAGAAGUGGUUGGUGGAGGAUGGGAUGGCUGCUUCGUCUGGCUCAUUAGCCGUGUUCCCACUAUCUUUUUUGGGCCAACCAGGACUAAUGGCCUGGGGCCUCAAGCUGCGAGAACACAAACCAUUUGCGUUUCCACUAUCGAGCCGAUCUCCGCGCAGUACUACCC
This is a long non-coding RNA of Clupea harengus (Atlantic herring), 1166 nucleotides long. Lineage: Eukaryota; Metazoa; Chordata; Actinopteri; Clupeiformes; Clupeidae. The record is from Ensembl.